RNAcentral lists this ribosomal RNA (324 nucleotides) under uncultured eukaryote. RNAcentral's name for it is "partial 18S ribosomal RNA". It matches the Rfam family "Eukaryotic small subunit ribosomal RNA", at positions 1470 to 1796 of the family's 1831-position model. The record is from RNAcentral.
CCCUUAGAUGUUCUGGGCAGCACGCGCGCUACACUGAUGCAUUCAACGAGUUUCUUCCUGGUCCGAGAGGAAUGGGUAACCUUUUGAAAGUGCAUCGUGAUAGGGAUAGACUAUUGCAAUUAUUGGUCUUCAACGAGGAAUUCCUAGUAGACGUAGUUCAUCAGACUGCAUCGAUUACGUCCCUGCCCUUUGUACACACCGCCCGUCGCUCCUACCGAUUGAAUGCUCAGGUGAGCCAUUCGGACUUUCAUCAUGCUGGUUUCCAGUUUUGAUGAAGGAAAGUCUUGCGAACCUUAUCAUUUAGAGGAAGGAGAAGUCGUAACA